Zootermopsis nevadensis is the source of this 562-nucleotide long non-coding RNA. RefSeq lists it as uncharacterized. Lineage: Eukaryota; Metazoa; Arthropoda; Insecta; Blattodea; Termopsidae. The record is from RefSeq and is a predicted model, not a curated record.
UUUCUUAAAUUCUACGAUGGCGUGUGAAAAUGAUUGGAACUCCGGUUUAGUCUUCCAUAAGUUUGGGCAGCGUACGUAGUUCGGAGACUUCAUUCCUUCACUAAAUUACUUUUCUGUUCAGAAUGAUAAACCCAAGCAGAGUUUAAAUUGUGUCCAGUGAAAUGACCGACAGUUUUGUUUUGUAUGGUGUAUGCUACAACAAAUGUGCCUGACUAUCAACAAAUAUGAGCAGAAAGACAACUGGAAUAAAACUGAUAAUUUAUAUUACUCAGUAAUAGUGCAGCAACCACACGUAGCAAUAAUUUCUUGUGAUGUGGAUCAUGAAUACAGAAGUACAGACCGUGUACGCCUACUAUGAAAUAUGAAUCUAGAAGAACCUUUAUUAAAUAGAAACUUGCUAGAAAGAAAAAUAUUUGUAUUUCUUGGGACUCCGUUAUGGUCAGAUUGUGCUGUACAUUGAUGAGUCCCCGCCUUUCUGAAGAUUUGGGGCUGAGGUCAUCCAAGAAUUAGAUGCUGCUGCAUUGUGACUUUUAUGUUUAAUAAAGUAUAUUUACAACCUGCA